Molecule: long non-coding RNA, 476 nt
Organism: Helianthus annuus (common sunflower)
Lineage: Eukaryota; Viridiplantae; Streptophyta; Magnoliopsida; Asterales; Asteraceae
Exons: 3
Source: RefSeq, a predicted model, not a curated record
AUCUGAAUCUCAAUUGAUCGUAUCCUCCGCUCAAUUCCCAUCGCCAUCUUCCAGGUUCCACCCGCGAUGGUCAUCUCCUCUAAUCGAUGCCCGCUACAGCGCCACUGAUGAUUCGCGGUUGAGUUACCGAAGAACCACCAGAGGUCCUUUAGUGGCGUCAUUAUGUACAGCAAGCAAAUCAAACACCUUUAGUGGUGCCAUUAUGUACGGCCUUCGAAUUGGCCUGGUGUGGUGUUAUCCACCUACUCAACAAUUUGGCGUUUCAAAGUGCAGCGCUUUUUGAUUCUUUAACGGUUCGGGAUAAUGUUGGUUUUCUUAUGUAUGAGCAUUCAGGAAUGCCCAAGGAUAAAAUUAAAGAACUUGUUGCAGAAACAUUGGUUGCAGUUGGAUUAAAGGUGAGUCAAAGGAAACAUCAUUAAAAAACCGUGGAAUUUUAACCUUUUUUGUGUUGUUUUUAGAAAUUUAUGUAGCGGUGA